This 249-nucleotide ribosomal RNA is filed under the name uncultured bacterium. Its description in RNAcentral is "partial 16S ribosomal RNA". It matches the Rfam family "Bacterial small subunit ribosomal RNA", at positions 796 to 1041 of the family's 1533-position model. The record is from RNAcentral.
CACGCCCUAAACGAUGUCAACUAGUUGUUCGGUGAGGAGACUCAUUGAGUAACGCAGCUAACGCGUGAAGUUGACCGCCUGGGGAGUACGGCCGCAAGGUUAAAACUCAAAGGAAUUGACGGGGACCCGCACAAGCGGUGGAUGAUGUGGUUUAAUUCGAUGCAACGCGAAAAACCUUACCCACCUUUGACAUGUACGGAAUCCUUUAGAGAUAGAGGAGUGCUCGAAAGAGAGCCGUAACACAGGUGC